GGAAUGGUGGCUCUCUGAUGUUUUGUAUCCUCCUACCAGUCUCCCGCCUCCCUCUCUCAUUAAGUCUGUUCUGGACUGGAUAGAGGGGAGACACAGUGUGGAUUUCUUCCAUCCUGAGAGGCAUGGCAAGGGUUGCUUUUCUGCCAUUUCUGAGGCUGUGAACAGAAACAUGGGUUCAUAUAGAGAAAUGAAUCCAAUCUCUCACAUCAGGCCGUGGUUCUCUAUUGCUUGCAGAAUGAAGUCAAAAGCUCCUACACCCUGUAAGGGGCUGAUUCAGGAUUUGAAUCUGUCUCUGGUUCCAGAUCCCAAGAGUGUCUGUCUUCCCACAGGAUUUUCCCUUCAUGCUACCUCAGUGAUUCCUCAGGCAUCUAUGGCAUAUAUGCUCUCGAAGGACUUGCUCUUAAGAUUGAAACCAGCCUGCACGCGGCAUCUAGAGGAGGCAGGGGGUAGCACAAAGAUGCAUCCAUUUGUGCCGUCUGAGACAAGGUCAGCAGGAGAGGUAUUCUGGGACCCAUAGGAUGCUGGGACGACAGCUCACAGAGAACGGUGGGUGUUUGAGUGUCACACAGGAGCUGGGGGCAGGGAUGGAAGCGAAGCCUCUGUGCCCCAGAUCCUGAAUCUAAGAGCUCUGCAGCCCUGAGGGGAUGGCUGAUGGGACAGACUCUGACUCUGAGGUCAGAAUUCCUGGGUCUGAAUUCUUGCCAUGCAACUUGUCACCUCUUGGAUUUUGACCAAGA
This 737-nucleotide long non-coding RNA is filed under the name Capra hircus (goat). RNAcentral's name for it is "lncRNA (ENSCHIG00000001047.1)". The record is from RNAcentral. Lineage: Eukaryota; Metazoa; Chordata; Mammalia; Artiodactyla; Bovidae.